Peromyscus eremicus (cactus mouse) is the source of this 1026-nucleotide long non-coding RNA. RefSeq lists it as uncharacterized. Lineage: Eukaryota; Metazoa; Chordata; Mammalia; Rodentia; Cricetidae. The transcript is spliced from 2 exons. The record is from RefSeq and is a predicted model, not a curated record.
CAAAGAGGCGAAACUCAGAGCGGCGAGGUCCUCCCUCGCGGCGUCCGCUCGCGCGUGGGUGGCUCGACCCUGAGGUCGCCCCGCGGGCGGAUCCUCCGAGCGCUCCGUCCCGCCGUGCACCUGCCGCGGGGUGACCUUGGACAGGAAGUCGCUUGGCUGGCCCUGGAGGCCUCCGGACUCCGAGCCGGGCGCCCGGGGCGGCGGAGUCGCUCGCGCAGUCCCGCGUCGCGGCCGCCGGGGAGAGCCCGCGGUGAACACCGGCGUCCCGGACACUCGUGACCCCGACCGUGACCUCCCGCGCGGCCGCCAGCCUCCCUACCCCGCCGUACCUGCCGACGGCUCCGCGCUCGCAGCUCCAGCCCACCGGAGCGUCCAAGCAGCCCGCACCAAGGCCUUAUUCUCCGCCGCCACCGCGGGGACAGCUUCCGCCGGAGCCUCCCGCCCCCCGGAAACGCUUCCCGGUCCCGCCCCCGAAACUGCCAGUACUUCCGGAGGCGCAUCAGCGACGCUGUGGUGUGCGCAUGCUCUAGGAGCUCCUUUGGGGCGGGUCUUCAGGAGAGCACGCUGAGGCGGCCAGCGCCUGCGCAAUAAGAUCUAGCGCAGGUCACGUGUAGGGACACAGUCCCAGGUCUAGAAGAGUUAUCUAGUUUCGAGUUCGAAACUCUGGAACUGCGAGCGACUUCAGCGGGUAAAGGCGCUUGCCGCCGGGGUUCUACCCUUGGAACACCCACGGUGGAAGAACUGACUCUCGCGAGUGGUCCGCUAACCUCCACAGGCACACUAUGGCUUUGGUCACAUGUCUGUGCCUGAUGCAGUACCACCAGCUAAUCACGAGAUGACCAAGACGGUUUGGGUCAAGUCUGAGUCAUCUCUUCCAGAAGGGGACAGUCUACCUUCACCAGGUUCAAGAAACCACACCUGCUACCUAAACAAAGUAUUUGUUUGACCUAAUAUUCCCUGUGGGAAUUCUUGGAGGCGCUGGAACACUUAUCCUUGAACCUGAUUAAAAAGGUGUUUUUUGUUUAA